RNAcentral lists this ribosomal RNA (322 nucleotides) under uncultured eukaryote. Its description in RNAcentral is "partial 18S ribosomal RNA". It matches the Rfam family "Eukaryotic small subunit ribosomal RNA", at positions 1470 to 1796 of the family's 1831-position model. The record is from RNAcentral.
CCCUUAGAUGUUCUGGGCCGCACGCGUGCUACACUGAGUGGAUCAGCGGGUCAGGUUGCGCGAAAGCGUUUCCUAAUCUUUAAAUCCGCUCGUGAUGGGGAUUGACGGUUGCAAUUUUCUGUCAUGAACGAGGAAUACCUUGUAAGCGCGGGUCAUCAUCCCGCGCUGAAUACGUCCCUGCCCUUUGUACACACCGCCCGUCGCUCCUACCGAUUGAGUGGUCCGGUGAGGCUUUGGGAUCUAAGCGGAAAGAGCGUUUCGCUGUUUCUGCUCGGAAAACUCAGUCGAACCUUAUCAUUUAGAGGAAGGAGAGGUCGUAACA